This 207-nucleotide ribosomal RNA is filed under the name uncultured bacterium. Its description in RNAcentral is "partial 16S ribosomal RNA". It matches the Rfam family "Bacterial small subunit ribosomal RNA", at positions 568 to 774 of the family's 1533-position model. The record is from RNAcentral.
CUCGUAGGCGGCUUGUCGCGUCGGCUGUGAAAACCUGGGGCUCAACUCCGGGCCUGCAGCCGAUACGGGCAAGCUAGAAUUCGGUAGGGGAGACUGGAAUUCCUGGUGUAGCGGUGAAAUGCGCAGAUAUCAGGAGGAACACCGGUGGCGAAGGCGGGUCUCUGGGCCGAAAUUGACGCUGAGGAGCGAAAGCGUGGGGAGCAAACA